Molecule: long non-coding RNA, 596 nt
Organism: Hemicordylus capensis (graceful crag lizard)
Lineage: Eukaryota; Metazoa; Chordata; Lepidosauria; Squamata; Cordylidae
Exons: 3
Source: RefSeq, a predicted model, not a curated record
UCGCUGACCACAGUCAGCAUGACUAAAGAGGCAAGCUUCCUUCUUUUCUGAAGGACAGCCUGUGCAGCCAACAGAAGCUGGAGUAAUGGAGGAGCUUUCUCUCUCAACUCCGGUUUGAGGGAAAGUCUAACUGCACUCCUGAUCCAGAUGUAAUGAAGGCGCCGUCAAAAUAGUUUACGGUGGCAUAACUCACUGCAAACAAGGUGACAAAUGGAGUUAGGGGAGGGAAACUGCAGAACAAGAUGAGGAAAAAUUAUGAAGACCUGCUCAAGCAGUGGUUGACUAAAGACUGAGGUGCUUUCAUGUCCCUGGUACAGGUGGCAUUUUGGCAACAGACUGUGGUCCUAUUCUAACAGCACCAGCCAGUCUUUCAACAACUUACAGAGAUGUACCUCUUCGUUAAGCACCAAACAUAUCAGUUAUACCAAAGAAUGGUCUAGCAGAUAUUGGGGGUGAAUCAUGGGGACCUCCCAAAAGCAGCAGCUGAAGAAGUGGAACUUAGCCCAGACAUACAUGACCAAGCUGAUAUAUACUACUGUAAUGUGCAUUAUGAAACUGAAGGGGGAAAAUCAUAAUUAUAGAACCAUCCUCUUGCU